AACGUAGGACGCAAGCGUUAUCCGGAGUUACUGGGCGUAAAGCGCGGGCAGGCGGCCCGCAACGUCUGAUGUGAAAUCUCCUCGCUCAACGGGGAGAGGCCAUUGGAAACGGUCGGGCUGGAGGGCAGUAGAGGUAGGCGGAAUUCCGGGUGGAGUGGUGAAAUGCGUAGAGAUCCGGAGGAACACCAGAGGCGAAGGCGGCCUACUGGGCUGCACCUGACGCUGAGCCGCGAAAGCCAGGGGAGCGAACGGG
This 253-nucleotide ribosomal RNA is filed under the name uncultured bacterium. Its description in RNAcentral is "partial 16S ribosomal RNA". It matches the Rfam family "Bacterial small subunit ribosomal RNA", at positions 524 to 776 of the family's 1533-position model. The record is from RNAcentral.